Molecule: ribosomal RNA, 407 nt
Filed under: uncultured bacterium
Lineage: Bacteria
Description: partial 16S ribosomal RNA
Rfam family: Bacterial small subunit ribosomal RNA
Source: RNAcentral
AUUGAACGCUGGCGGCAGGCCUAACACAUGCAAGUCGAGCGGAGCGGCGGACGGGUGAGUAAUGCCUAGGAAUCUGCCUGGUAGUGGGGGAUAACGUCCGGAAACGGGCGCUAAUACCGCAUACUAUCAGAUGAGCCUAGGUCGGAUUAGCUAGUUGGUGGGGUAAAGGCCUACCAAGGCGACGAUCCGUAACUGGUCUGAGAGGAUGAUCAGUCACACUGGAAAUGAGACACGGUCCCGGUCCCGACGGGAGGAAGACGUGGGGAAUAUUUGAAAAUGGGCGAAAGCCCUAUCCAUCCAUUCCGCGUGUGGGAAGAAGGUAUUUGGAUUUUAAAGCAAUUUAAGUUGGGAGGCGUUACCAACAGAAUAAGCACCGGCUAACUUCGUGCCAGCAGCCGCGGUAAUUC